Long non-coding RNA from Strigops habroptila (Kakapo), 156 nucleotides. RefSeq lists it as uncharacterized. The transcript has 3 exons. NCBI's taxonomy places the organism in Eukaryota, Metazoa, Chordata, Aves, Psittaciformes, Psittacidae. The record is from RefSeq and is a predicted model, not a curated record.
UCCUCUAAGUACUGGUGAUGGUGUCUUCUGGAGUGCUGGGCCAAGUUCUGGGCUGCACAGUACAAGAGACGUGGACAUACUGGAGAUAGUCCAGCGGAAAGCCUCGAAGAUGAUUGUGGGGUUGGAGCAUCUGACACAUGAGAAGAAGCUAAGAGA